Molecule: ribosomal RNA, 497 nt
Filed under: uncultured bacterium
Lineage: Bacteria
Description: partial 16S ribosomal RNA
Rfam family: Bacterial small subunit ribosomal RNA
Source: RNAcentral
GAUGAACGCUGGCGGCGUGCCUAAUACAUGCAAGUCGAGCGAACGGACGAGAAGCUUGCUUCUCUGAUGUUAGCGGCGGACGGGAGAGUAACACGUGGAUAACCUACCUAUAAGACUGGGAUAACUUCGGGAAACCGGAGCUAAUACCGGAUAAUAUUUUGAACCGCAUGGUUCAAAAGUGAAAGACGGUCUUGCUUUCACUUAUAGAUGGACACGCGCUGCAUUAGUUAGUUGGUAAGGUAACGGCUUACCAAGGCAACGAGGCAUAGCCGACCUGAGAGGGUGAUCGGCCACACUGGAACUGAGACACGGUCCAGACUCCUACGGGAGGCAGCAGUAGGGAAUCUUCCGCAAUGGGCGAAAGCCUGACGGAGCAACGCCGCGUGAGUGAUGAUGGUCUUCUGAUCGUAAAACGCUGUUAUUAGGGAAGAACAUAUGUGUAAGUAACUGUGCACAUCUUGACGGUACCUAAUCAGAAAGCCACGGCUAACUACGUG